UACACCAGCUUACAUGGAUAGUCUAGGCAACACAUUAGUUAAUUUUUUUAGAAUCAUACCGGACGGAGUAUUGGUAUUUUUUCCCUCGUAUGUUGUCAUGGAAACCCUUUUCACCCACUGGAAGGAGCAUAGCAACAUAUUCAUGAGAAUGGAGCAACAUAAGCA
Long non-coding RNA from Amphimedon queenslandica, 165 nucleotides. RefSeq lists it as uncharacterized. NCBI's taxonomy places the organism in Eukaryota, Metazoa, Porifera, Demospongiae, Haplosclerida, Niphatidae. The transcript has 3 exons. The record is from RefSeq and is a predicted model, not a curated record.